Molecule: ribosomal RNA, 519 nt
Filed under: uncultured bacterium
Lineage: Bacteria
Description: partial 16S ribosomal RNA
Rfam family: Bacterial small subunit ribosomal RNA
Source: RNAcentral
AACGAACGCUGGCGGCGUGCCUAACACAUGCAAGUCGAGCGAGAAAGUCCCGGCAACGGGAUGAGUACAGCGGCGAACGGGUGAGUAACGCGUGGGUAAUCUACCCUCCAGCUCGGGAUAACCUGCCGAAAGGUGGGCUAAUACCGGAUGAUGUUCCCGUGGGGAUCCUGCGGGAAGCAAAGGGGGCGAGCGUAAGCAGCUCUCACUGGAGGAGGAGCCUGCGUCCGAUUAGCUAGUUGGUGGGGUAAUGGCCUACCAAGGCGACGAUCGGUAGCCGGCCUGGGCGGGCGACCGGCCACACUGGAACUGAGACACGGUCCAGACUCCUACGGGAGGCAGCAGUGGGGAAUCUUGCGCAAUGGGCGAAAGCCUGACGCAGCGACGCCGCGUGGGCGAUGAAGGCCUUCGGGUCGUAAAGCCCUGUCGGGUGGGACGAAUCUCCUGGUGGCGAAUAACCACCGGGCUUGACGGUACCACCGAAGGAAGCCCCGGCUAACUACGUGCCAGCAGCCGCGGUAA